RNAcentral lists this ribosomal RNA (254 nucleotides) under uncultured bacterium. RNAcentral's name for it is "partial 16S ribosomal RNA". It matches the Rfam family "Bacterial small subunit ribosomal RNA", at positions 524 to 776 of the family's 1533-position model. The record is from RNAcentral.
UACGGGGGGGGCAAGCGUUGUUCGGAAUUACUGGGCGUAAAGGGCUCGUAGGUGGCCAACUAAGUCACACGUGAAAUCCCUCGGCUUAACCGGGGAACUGCGUCUGAUACUGGAUGGCUUGAGUUUGGGAGAGGGACGCGGAAUUCCAGGUGUAGCGGUGAAAUGCGUAGAUAUCUGGAGGAACACCGGUGGCGAAGGCGGCGGACUGGAACAAUACUGACACUGAGUGAGCGAAAGCCAGGGGAGCAAACGGG